Molecule: ribosomal RNA, 1545 nt
Filed under: Klebsiella pneumoniae
Lineage: Bacteria; Pseudomonadati; Pseudomonadota; Gammaproteobacteria; Enterobacterales; Enterobacteriaceae
Description: bacterial SSU rRNA
Rfam family: Bacterial small subunit ribosomal RNA
Source: RNAcentral
AAAUUGAAGAGUUUGAUCAUGGCUCAGAUUGAACGCUGGCGGCAGGCCUAACACAUGCAAGUCGAGCGGUAGCACAGAGAGCUUGCUCUCGGGUGACGAGCGGCGGACGGGUGAGUAAUGUCUGGGAAACUGCCUGAUGGAGGGGGAUAACUACUGGAAACGGUGGCUAAUACCGCAUAAUGUCGCAAGACCAAAGUGGGGGACCUUCGGGCCUCAUGCCAUCAGAUGUGCCCAGAUGGGAUUAGCUAGUAGGUGGGGUAACGGCUCACCUAGGCGACGAUCCCUAGCUGGUCUGAGAGGAUGACCAGCCACACUGGAACUGAGACACGGUCCAGACUCCUACGGGAGGCAGCAGUGGGGAAUAUUGCACAAUGGGCGCAAGCCUGAUGCAGCCAUGCCGCGUGUGUGAAGAAGGCCUUCGGGUUGUAAAGCACUUUCAGCGGGGAGGAAGGCGUUAAGGUUAAUAACCUUGGCGAUUGACGUUACCCGCAGAAGAAGCACCGGCUAACUCCGUGCCAGCAGCCGCGGUAAUACGGAGGGUGCAAGCGUUAAUCGGAAUUACUGGGCGUAAAGCGCACGCAGGCGGUCUGUCAAGUCGGAUGUGAAAUCCCCGGGCUCAACCUGGGAACUGCAUUCGAAACUGGCAGGCUAGAGUCUUGUAGAGGGGGGUAGAAUUCCAGGUGUAGCGGUGAAAUGCGUAGAGAUCUGGAGGAAUACCGGUGGCGAAGGCGGCCCCCUGGACAAAGACUGACGCUCAGGUGCGAAAGCGUGGGGAGCAAACAGGAUUAGAUACCCUGGUAGUCCACGCCGUAAACGAUGUCGAUUUGGAGGUUGUGCCCUUGAGGCGUGGCUUCCGGAGCUAACGCGUUAAAUCGACCGCCUGGGGAGUACGGCCGCAAGGUUAAAACUCAAAUGAAUUGACGGGGGCCCGCACAAGCGGUGGAGCAUGUGGUUUAAUUCGAUGCAACGCGAAGAACCUUACCUGGUCUUGACAUCCACAGAACUUUCCAGAGAUGGAUUGGUGCCUUCGGGAACUGUGAGACAGGUGCUGCAUGGCUGUCGUCAGCUCGUGUUGUGAAAUGUUGGGUUAAGUCCCGCAACGAGCGCAACCCUUAUCCUUUGUUGCCAGCGGUCCGGCCGGGAACUCAAAGGAGACUGCCAGUGAUAAACUGGAGGAAGGUGGGGAUGACGUCAAGUCAUCAUGGCCCUUACGACCGUGGCUACACGUGCUACAAUGGCAUAUACAAAGAGAAGCGACCUCGCGAGAGCAAGCGGACCUCAUAAAGUAUGUCGUAGUCCGGAUUGAGUCUGCAACUCGACUCCAUGAAGUCGGAAUCGCUAGUAAUCGUAGAUCAGAAUGCUACGGUGAAUACGUUCCGGCCUUGUACACACCGCCCGUCACACCAUGGGAGUGGGUUGCAAAAGAAGUAGGUAGCUUAACCUUCGGGAGGGCGCUUACCACUUUGUGAUUCAUGACUGGGGUGAAGUCGUAACAAGGUAACCGUAGGGGAACCUGCGGUUGGAUCACCUCCUUACCUUAAAGAA